GUUGUACUCCCUCCGUUCCGAAUUACUUGUCGCGGAAAUAGAUUUAUCUAGAACUAAAAAAUGUCUAGAUACAUCCAUUUCUACGACAAGUAAUUCCGAACGGAGGAAGUACUAU
Non-coding RNA from Triticum aestivum (bread wheat), 115 nucleotides. The record is from Rfam. Lineage: Eukaryota; Viridiplantae; Streptophyta; Magnoliopsida; Poales; Poaceae.